GUAGGGUGCGAGCGUUAAUCGGAAUUACUGGGCGUAAAGCGUGCGCAGGCGGUGAUGUAAGACCGAUGUGAAAUCCCCGGGCUCAACCUGGGAACUGCAUUGGUGACUGCAUUGCUCGAGUAUGGCAGAGGGGGGUGGAAUUCCACGUGUAGCAGUGAAAUGCGUAGAGAUGUGGAGGAACACCGAUGGCGAAGGCAGCCCCCUGGGCCAAUACUGACGCUCAUGCACGAAAGCGUGGGGAGCAAACAGGAUUAGAUACCCUGGUAGUCCCACGCCCCUAAACGAUGUCAACUGGUUGUCGGGCCUUCAUUGGCUUGGUAACGUAGCUAACGCGUGAAGUUGACCGCCUGGGAGUACGGUCGCAAGAUUA
RNAcentral lists this ribosomal RNA (370 nucleotides) under uncultured organism. RNAcentral's name for it is "partial 16S ribosomal RNA". It matches the Rfam family "Bacterial small subunit ribosomal RNA", at positions 527 to 896 of the family's 1533-position model. The record is from RNAcentral.